This is a long non-coding RNA of Alexandromys fortis (reed vole), 582 nucleotides long. RefSeq lists it as uncharacterized. The transcript has 3 exons. Lineage: Eukaryota; Metazoa; Chordata; Mammalia; Rodentia; Cricetidae. The record is from RefSeq and is a predicted model, not a curated record.
AUGGUAUAAAUAGCUUUCCGAUUCUUACUGCAACUUGCUGGCUCUCAUUUUGUUCUCGGCAAGCUCUGGGAAAGAACGGAGCCAAACAGCAAGCAUUGGAUGCUGAGGACACAGAGCCUCUGCCUGCUUCUUCCAGAGGUCAAAGGACCAGAGGGAACUACAGGAUCUCCAGGACACCACGCUAGGCUGGAAGGAGCCCAUUGCUACAGGCAGUGUCCAGCCACACCACGGAGAAUGGCUUCUUGGAGCAGAGACUUCCAGAAUGAACUGUAAAAGUACAUCUUGGGUUGGAAUUGGAUUGUUCAUUGAUUGUUCUGGUGCCCAUAUGCUGAUCUGCAAGCUUGUCUGCAUGGUCUGCAGAUGAAUAUGAUUAAGAUUUGCAGGCCUGGUAUCCACACAGGAAGAAGAGGAGAUAGCAAGGGUGUGUAAAGAAGGAGAAAGGUCACGUGAAGACAAAUUGAGAAGGAAACCAUAUGCCUGCAAGCUGAGGACAGAGAUCUAAGGAGAAACCAGACAUACCAACCCUCUCUUCUCAAAUUCUAUAGACUCUAGAACUGCGUAAACAUGAAUUUCUGUUGUGUU